Molecule: ribosomal RNA, 958 nt
Filed under: Photorhabdus heterorhabditis
Lineage: Bacteria; Pseudomonadati; Pseudomonadota; Gammaproteobacteria; Enterobacterales; Morganellaceae
Description: bacterial SSU rRNA
Rfam family: Bacterial small subunit ribosomal RNA
Source: RNAcentral
AAAGCGCUUGCGCUUUUGCUGACGAGCGGCGGACGGGUGAGUAAAGUCUGGGGAUCUGCCUGAUGGAGGGGGAUAACCACUGGAAACGGUGGCUAAUACCGCAUGAAGUCGCAAGACCAAAGUGGGGGACCUGCGGGCCUCACGCCAUCGGAUGAACCCAGAUGGGAUUAGCUAGUAGGUAGGGUAAUGGCCUACCUAGGCGACGAUCCCUAGCUGGUCUGAGAGGAUGACCAGCCACACUGGGACUGAGACACGGCCCAGACUCAUACGGGAGGCAGCAGUGGGGAAUAUUGCACAAUGGGCGCAAGCCUGAUGCAGCCAUGCCGCGUGUAUGAAGAAGGCUUUCGGGUUGUAAAGUACUUUCAGCGGGGAGGAAGGGUGUGGCCUGAAUAGGGUUGUGCUUUGACGUUACCCGCAGAAGAAGCACCGGCUAACUCCGUGCCAGCAGCCGCGGUAAUACGGAGGGUGCAAGCGUUAAUCGGAAUGACUGGGCGUAAAGCGCACGCAGGCGGUCAAUUAAGUUAGAUGUGAAAUCCCCGGGCUUAACCUGGGAACGGCAUCUAAGACUGGUUGGCUAGAGUCUCGUAGAGGGGGGUAGAAUUCCAUGUGUAGCGGUGAAAUGCGUAGAGAUGUGGAGGAAUACCGGUGGCGAAGGCGGCCCCCUGGACGAAGACUGACGCUCAGGUGCGAAAAGCGUGGGGAGCAAACAGGAUUAGAUACCCUGGUAGUCCACGCUGUAAACGAUGUCGAUUUGGAGGUUGUUCCCCUAGAGGAGUGGCUUCCGGGAGCUAACGCGUUAAAAUCGACCGCCUGGGGGAGUACGGCCCGCAAGGGUUAAAAACUCAAAUGAAUUGGACGGGGGGCCCGCAACAAGCGGUGGAACCAUGGUGGUUUUAAUUUCGAUGCCACCGCGAAAGAACCUUUACCCUACUUCUUGGACAUCCAGAAGAAGAACCUC